CUAUCUUAUUUAUAAGAGCUUUGAUACAUGUAAAAUAUUCGAAAACAAUGUCCGAACAUAUAAUGUUCGCCCCAAAAUAUAGCAAAGACCACAAAAAUGCCAUAAAAAGUACAUUAAGGUCAAAAUUUGGAGUAGGAAAAAAAUCAAUAAGAGAAUUCCAUUUUCCUUCCCUCAUUCAUCGGAGAUCUCUCUUUGGGCAUUCCAAAAAGGUAUCACAUGCCAAGUUUGGCCUCACGGUCUAAACGUUAUAGAGUAAUACAUUUUUAACAAAAAAAAAAGAGAAAAACCGAAAAAAAGAGGGAUGCAACACGAAGACUUUUCUGGAGGUCACCCAUCCUAGUACUACUCUCCCCCAAGCACGCUUAACUGUGGUGUUCUGAUAGGAUCAAGUGCAUUAGUGCUGGUAUGAUCGCAUCAGUUACUACAUGCAAUGCAAUCAUAUAUAUUCUUUUUUGAAGACUUUAUGAUCCAUUUGCCGUAGGUCCCACCAGCUAUGUAGGAAUACCCUUUCUUGUUUAUAAGAGCUUUGAUACAUGCAAAAUAUUCGAAAACAAUGUCCGAACAUAUUAUUUUUGUCCCGUAAUAUAGCAAAGAUCACGAAAAGGCCAGGAAAAAUACAUUUCGGUCAAAAUUUGGAGUAGAAAAAAAACCCUUCCUCAUUCAUUCGACAGCUCUCUUUGAGCUUUCCGAAAAGGUAUCACAUGCCAAGUUUGGCCUCACGGUCUAAACCUUAUAGACUCAUACAUUUUUCACAAAAAAAAAGAAGAGAAAAACCAAAAAAUAGAGUGAUUAAACGCGAGGACUUUCCUGGAGGUCACCCAUCCUAGUACUACUCUCGCCCAAGCACGCUUAACUGCGAAGUUCUGAUGGGAUCUGGUGCAUUAGUGCUGGUAUGAUCGCAUCUGUUACUACAUGCAAUGAAAUCGUAUCUAUUCUUUUUUGAUG
This 945-nucleotide small RNA is filed under the name Arabidopsis thaliana (thale cress). RNAcentral describes it as "ATSL163250". Lineage: Eukaryota; Viridiplantae; Streptophyta; Magnoliopsida; Brassicales; Brassicaceae. The record is from RNAcentral.